GGUUGGGUUCGGUACCUAUAUUUUUGGUCUCACAAAAUUGAAUGUUCACCGCAUACCCUUAGGCCUUAGCUCAAUGUUAUGGAUGAGUCUACCGAGUAACAAACUCCAACUUCUACCCGCCCAUUUUCUACCACCGAAUUUCCUCGGAAACAAACAGCCUACUUUCACGAACGCGUUACUUAACUCAAACUUUUGAGUGUUUAGUUGACGAAAAAAGGUGAUUUCAGAGCAAUGAUGAUCCAUACGUGUGUAGCUCUUCGUCCGUGUCGGCCUCCCUUGAUUAGUUCAUCUAAGUCGACCCUUCAACGCCCUCCGAACUGCAAAUUCUCUGUUCGAAACUGUAUCAGAGACCCAAACAACUCACAGAAGUUAGUUUUGGAAGUUAAGGAGAAGCUUGAAAAGGAACAUUAUGAUCUGCCAGUUGGAGAAAAUGGAAGAGAUGACGAAGACAUGAUUCUAUGGUAUCUUAAGGACAGAAGAUUUUCUGUCGAAGAAGCUAUUGCUAAGUUGACAAAAGCUAUUAGAUGGCGUCAAGAAUUUGGAGUUGCUGAUUUAUCUGAAGAUACUGUGAAAAGUAUAGCCAAGACUGGAAAAGCCUAUGUGCAUGACUUUCUUGAUGUUAAUGACAGACCAGUGCUCAUUGUGGUGGCAUCCAAGCACCUUCCUGAUGUGCAUGAUCCUCGUGACAAUGAGAAAUUAUGUGUGUUUUUGAUUGAGAAGGCAUUGAGCAAGCUUCCAGCUGGGCAAGAACAAAUACUUGGAAUAGUUGAUCUCCGGGGCUUUGGCACCAAAAAUGCAGAUCUCAGUUAUUUAACUUUCUUGUUUGAUGUAUUUUACUAUUACUAUCCAAAGCGGUUGGGUGAAGUUCUCUUUGUGGAAGCUCCUUUCGUAUUUCAGCCAAUUUGGCAGCUGACAAAGCCCUUGUUAAAAUCAUACGCUUCUAUGGUGAAAUUUUGCUCCGCGGAAACUGUCAGGAAGGAAUACUUCACAGAAGAAACCUUACCAAUCAGCUUUAGAGACUGAGGCCAUUUACCUUACGUCCUUAAAAUCUGGGUUGUUGGGUAUGUUUAUAAUUUUUGGAAAUUCAGGAAUUCGAAAUUGACUUUUUCAAGUUAUAGAGUUGCAGGAUUUUCAAGUGUUGAACUCACUGUCAAGUUGUUGUGAUGUACCAGAACUUGCAAAGAUCAGAAAGGGGUUUGGAAUGAUCCUAGUUUGCUCUUUAUGAUAUUGAUGGAUAUUGAUGAGUUCCCUACGUUAAAGAAGAACGGACCGUUCUCAAGUUAAAGAAAUUGAAGCAGGUCAGGGUUCCUUUUAUUUGUUUUUGCGUCUACGCACAUUGAUGUGUCUAUAACCACAAAUGAUACCUCAAGAGACUGCGACACUACAAACUCAUGGAUUCGCACUUUUUACUGCUCUCGUGUUAACUUCAGUUUUGUCAAAUUUAAUCCUUUUGUUGCAUUCACAACAACAAUAGAUUUGUAUUAAAAUUUAGCUGGAUAUAGAAAUUCAAAAUUGAAGGCAAGGCCCAACUGUUUCCGAUCAAGACAUAUAA
Molecule: RNA transcript, 1552 nt
Organism: Gossypium arboreum
Lineage: Eukaryota; Viridiplantae; Streptophyta; Magnoliopsida; Malvales; Malvaceae
Gene name: CRAL-TRIO domain-containing protein C3H8.02
Exons: 7
Source: RefSeq, a predicted model, not a curated record